UACGUAGGGUGCAAGCGUUAAUCGGAAUUACUGGGCGUAAAGCGUGCGCAGGCGGUGAUGUAAGACAGAUGUGAAAUCCCCGGGCUCAACCCAGGAACUGCGUCCAAGACUGGGAGGCUUGAAUCCGGGAGAGGGAUGCGGAAUUCCAGGUGUAGCGGUGAAAUGCGUAGAUAUCUGGAGGAACACCGGUGGCGAAGGCGGCAUCCUGGACCGGUAUUGACACUGAGGCGCGAAAGCCAGGGGAGCAAACGGG
Molecule: ribosomal RNA, 253 nt
Filed under: uncultured bacterium
Lineage: Bacteria
Description: partial 16S ribosomal RNA
Rfam family: Bacterial small subunit ribosomal RNA
Source: RNAcentral